AUUGAACGCUGGCGGCAGGCCUAACACAUGCAAGUCGAGCGGAUGAAGGGAGCUUGCUCCUGGAUUCAGCGGCGGACGGGUGAGUAAUGCCUAGGAAUCUGCCUGGUAGUGGGGGAUAACGUCCGGAAACGGGCGCUAAUACCGCAUACGUCCUUAGGCAGAAAGUGGGUUAUCUUCGGACCUCACGCUAUCAGAUGAGCCUAGGUCGGAUUAGCUAGUUGGUGGGGUAAAGGCCUACCAAGGCGACGAUCCGUAACUGGUCUGAGAGGAUGAUCAGUCACACUGGAACUGAGACACGGUCCAGACUCCUACGGGAGGCAGCAGUGGGGAAUAUUGGACAAUGGGCGAAAGCCUGAUCCAGCCAUGCCGCGUGUGUGAAGAAAGUCUUCGGAUUGUAAAGAGCUAUAAGUUGGGAGGAAGGGCAGUAAGUUAAUACCUUGCUGUUUUGACGUUACCAACAGAAUAAGCACCGGCUAACUUCGUG
Molecule: ribosomal RNA, 484 nt
Filed under: uncultured bacterium
Lineage: Bacteria
Description: partial 16S ribosomal RNA
Rfam family: Bacterial small subunit ribosomal RNA
Source: RNAcentral